GACGAACGCUGGCGGCGUGCUUAACACAUGCAAGUCGAACGGUGAAGCACCUUCCUUUUGGUGGGUGUGGAUGAGUGGCGAACGGGUGAGUAACACGUGGGUAACCUGCCCCCUUCUUCUGGAUAACCGCAUGAAAGUGUGGCUAAUACGGGAUAUUCUGGGUCUGUCGCAUGGCGGGCCUGGGAAAGAUAUUGUUUCGGUGGGGGAUGGGCUCGCGGUCUAUCAGCUUGUUGGUGGGGUGAUGGCCUACCAAGGCGGGGACGGGUAGCCGGCCUGAGAGGGUUGACGGUCACACUGGGACUGAGACACGGCCCAGACUCCUACGGGAGGCAGCAGUGGGGAAUAUUGCACAAUGGGCGCAAGCCUGAUGCAGCGACGCCGCGUGAGGGAUGGAGGCCUUCGGGUUGUAAACCUCUUUCGCCAGUGAAGCAGGCCUGUCCCUUUUGUGGGUGGGUUGACGGUAGCUGGAUAAGAAGCGCCGGCUAACUACGUG
RNAcentral lists this ribosomal RNA (493 nucleotides) under uncultured bacterium. Its description in RNAcentral is "partial 16S ribosomal RNA". It matches the Rfam family "Bacterial small subunit ribosomal RNA", at positions 28 to 507 of the family's 1533-position model. The record is from RNAcentral.